RNAcentral lists this transfer RNA (74 nucleotides) under Sus scrofa (pig). It matches the Rfam family "tRNA". From Rfam's summary of the family: Transfer RNA (tRNA) molecules are approximately 80 nucleotides in length. Their secondary structure includes four short double-helical elements and three loops (D, anti-codon, and T loops). Lineage: Eukaryota; Metazoa; Chordata; Mammalia; Artiodactyla; Suidae. The record is from Rfam by way of RNAcentral.
UCCCUGGUGGGUUAGCAGGUUAAGGCCCUGGCAUUCUUAUUGCUAUGGCACAGGUUUGAUCCCUGGCUUGGGAA